RNAcentral lists this long non-coding RNA (624 nucleotides) under Sorghum bicolor (sorghum). RNAcentral describes it as "long non-coding RNA (SBIC_LNC007590)". The record is from RNAcentral. Lineage: Eukaryota; Viridiplantae; Streptophyta; Magnoliopsida; Poales; Poaceae.
AGCUCCUUGUAGACCUGCGACGCGUCGGUGCAGCCGAACAUGGGCAGCUUCCACAUGGUCCAGUAGCGGCCGUCGUAGUAGCACGGGGAGGUGGAGUUCUCGCGGUACACGAAGCCUUCCUUGCUGAACUCGAGGCAGGGCACCCAGUUGUUGCGCAGCAGGUAGUCCACCUGCUUCAGCAGCUGCUCCUCCGUCAGCGGCGGCAGGUACGACAGCGUCUCGAACUUCUUGUUCCCGUACGCCGGCCACACCUGCAAAUUAAUGCAUGCAUCGAUCGAUGUACGUGUUUGUGGUUGCAUUUCGCUAGCUCUGCUGCAAAGAAUGAAUGAAGAUGGCCGGCCGGAGCCAAGAACGAAAGGCCAACUAGCUCUUGUGUUAAUUAUGUUGUUAUUACCUGCAUGCACCGGAUCCUGCCGCCGUUGCUGACUUUGGCGAGGCUGGUGGUGGAGCGGCGGGCGACGGGGAGGGUGGCGGUGGACUUGAGACCCUGGAACGGAGCGACGGCGGUGGCGGACGAGGCCAUCACGGUGGGCGCCAUUGCUGCUGCUAUGUAGUACUAGUAGCUAGUGAGGGAGCGAGCUGAGAGUGAGCUGCUUGCUGUUUUUGCUGCUUCUUGCUGCUUGG